RNAcentral lists this long non-coding RNA (1108 nucleotides) under Ficedula albicollis (Collared flycatcher). RNAcentral's name for it is "lncRNA (ENSFALG00000027418.1)". The record is from RNAcentral. Lineage: Eukaryota; Metazoa; Chordata; Aves; Passeriformes; Muscicapidae.
CCCCCCCCCCCCCCCCCCCCCCCCCCCCCCCCCCCCCCCCCCCCCCCCCCCCCCCCCCCCCCCCCCCCCCCCCCCCCCCCCCCCCCCCCCCGCGCCGUUGCCAAGGCGCUGCAAACACGGCCGGGCAGCGCCGGGCCCGGCCCCGCGCUCCCUCAGAAACGACAGUCCCACAGGAGAUGCCUGACAAGCAGAAAUCUGAGGGUACUUGGAGCCAGAAAUGAAACCAAACAGUCCCAGAAUUUUUUGAAGAAAAAACAACAGAAACAUGAUGAACGAGCCUUUGUUUUAAUUAGAAGUGGAAGCUACAAGACAGCUCAGAAACAACUGAAGUCUGGAAAUGAGUGAAUUAAGAAAAAUAAAAUUCUAAAAGGUCCUUUUCCUAUCCUUCUGCCAUAAGGUAUAUUUUGACAUAAAACUUCUAGGUCUUUGUGCUGUUUCAAUGUGCUCCAAAGAUUACAUUUAGGAUUGAGCGCAUCAGAAAAUCCACAUUUACUCUCUCUCACUUUACACAUGUAUUCUCUCAUGGAGAAUCUAUUGGCAGUCAUCAUGACUUUUUCAUUAUCUUAGUUAACAACACACAUUUAGGUCAAAUACCUUGUGUGUGUGCAUUUCAGCCCUGAUUUUAUAUUGCCGGUUAAAAGUUCAUCAGCUAGUGAAGCUGAGCUAUAAAGAUCAAGCUCAUUUUCCUCCUUUUUCACAUUUCUCUCUUUCCCUGCUCUUAUUUUAACUUUUUAUUAUUGUUUAGCUUAGCAGACCUGCAGGCCUACAAGAUGUUUCAUAAAUAUAGUUAUAGUGAUCUAUCCCAAAAAGCAUCUUACCCUGUUGUAAAGAUAAACAUCUAGACAGGGGAAUAAGUUCUAAAAAAGGAUAUAUCCACAAAAUAUUAGACAAAAGAAAGAAAAAACACUAAAAGUAGGCUUAAAAUAGUUAGAAAUUUUAGAAAAUGGUAAUCUAUCAGAAGGCCAUCACAGGAAGACGCUGCACUGGAAGAUAAAUAAAAGGAAAACACUGAUCGGUCCACUUCAUACCUGCUGGCAUUUCCCUCCUCUGCUUACUUAUGAAGAACUAUUUGGAGAGGUGAACUUCCAAUCAAGAUUUUAAUCUGUCC